Molecule: ribosomal RNA, 1390 nt
Filed under: Pediococcus acidilactici
Lineage: Bacteria; Bacillati; Bacillota; Bacilli; Lactobacillales; Lactobacillaceae
Description: bacterial SSU rRNA
Rfam family: Bacterial small subunit ribosomal RNA
Source: RNAcentral
GAUUUUAACACGAAGUGAGUGGCGGACGGGUGAGUAACACGUGGGUAACCUGCCCAGAAGCAGGGGAUAACACCUGGAAACAGAUGCUAAUACCGUAUAACAGAGAAAACCGCCUGGUUUUCUUUUAAAAGAUGGCUCUGCUAUCACUUCUGGAUGGACCCGCGGCGCAUUAGCUAGUUGGUGAGGUAACGGCUCACCAAGGCGAUGAUGCGUAGCCGACCUGAGAGGGUAAUCGGCCACAUUGGGACUGAGACACGGCCCAGACUCCUACGGGAGGCAGCAGUAGGGAAUCUUCCACAAUGGACGCAAGUCUGAUGGAGCAACGCCGCGUGAGUGAAGAAGGGUUUCGGCUCGUAAAGCUCUGUUGUUAAAGAAGAACGUGGGUGAGAGUAACUGUUCACCCAGUGACGGUAUUUAACCAGAAAGCCACGGCUAACUACGUGCCAGCAGCCGCGGUAAUACGUAGGUGGCAAGCGUUAUCCGGAUUUAUUGGGCGUAAAGCGAGCGCAGGCGGUCUUUUAAGUCUAAUGUGAAAGCCUUCGGCUCAACCGAAGAAGUGCAUUGGAAACUGGGAGACUUGAGUGCAGAAGAGGACAGUGGAACUCCAUGUGUAGCGGUGAAAUGCGUAGAUAUAUGGAAGAACACCAGUGGCGAAGGCGGCUGUCUGGUCUGUAACUGACGCUGAGGCUCGAAAGCAUGGGUAGCGAACAGGAUUAGAUACCCUGGUAGUCCAUGCCGUAAACGAUGAUUACUAAGUGUUGGAGGGUUUCCGCCCUUCAGUGCUGCAGCUAACGCAUUAAGUAAUCCGCCUGGGGAGUACGACCGCAAGGUUGAAACUCAAAAGAAUUGACGGGGGCCCGCACAAGCGGUGGAGCAUGUGGUUUAAUUCGAAGCUACGCGAAGAACCUUACCAGGUCUUGACAUCUUCUGCCAACCUAAGAGAUUAGGCGUUCCCUUCGGGGACAGAAUGACAGGUGGUGCAUGGUUGUCGUCAGCUCGUGUCGUGAGAUGUUGGGUUAAGUCCCGCAACGAGCGCAACCCUUAUUACUAGUUGCCAGCAUUCAGUUGGGCACUCUAGUGAGACUGCCGGUGACAAACCGGAGGAAGGUGGGGACGACGUCAAAUCAUCAUGCCCCUUAUGACCUGGGCUACACACGUGCUACAAUGGAUGGUACAACGAGUUGCGAAACCGCGAGGUUUAGCUAAUCUCUUAAAACCAUUCUCAGUUCGGACUGUAGGCUGCAACUCGCCUACACGAAGUCGGAAUCGCUAGUAAUCGCGGAUCAGCAUGCCGCGGUGAAUACGUUCCCGGGCCUUGUACACACCGCCCGUCACACCANGNGAGUUUGUAACACCCAAAGCCGGUGGGGUAACCUUUUAGGAGCUAGCC